GACAGCAGCCAUAUCACCCUGCAAAUCACAACUGGCAGCCCCAGUGAAGCCAAGCAGGUGUGAGCCUGGCCAGUACCUGGAUGGGAGACCUCCUGGGAAAAACUUAAGGUUGCUGCUGGAA
This 121-nucleotide ribosomal RNA is filed under the name Lepisosteus oculatus (spotted gar). The record is from RNAcentral. Lineage: Eukaryota; Metazoa; Chordata; Actinopteri; Semionotiformes; Lepisosteidae.